Molecule: ribosomal RNA, 253 nt
Filed under: uncultured bacterium
Lineage: Bacteria
Description: partial 16S ribosomal RNA
Rfam family: Bacterial small subunit ribosomal RNA
Source: RNAcentral
UACGGGGGGAGCAAGCGUUGUUCGGAUUUACUGGGCGUAAAGCGCGUGCAGGUGGUCUUUUAAGUUUCGUGUGAAAGCCCUCGGCUCAACCGAGGAACGGCACGGAAAACUGGAGGACUCGAGUACGGGAGAAGAGGGCGGAAUUCCCAGUGUAGAGGUGAAAUUCGUAGAUAUUGGGAGGAACACCGGCGGCGAAAGCGGCUCUCUAGACCGAUACUGACGCUCAUACGCGAGAGCGUGGGGAGCGAACAGG